AACGCGAAGAACCUUACCUGGCCUUGACAUCCAGAGAACUUUCCAGAGAUGGAUUGGUGCCUUCGGGAACUCUGAGACAGGUGCUGCAUGGCUGUCGUCAGCUCGUGUUGUGAAAUGUUGGGUUAAGUCCCGCAACGAGCGCAACCCUUAUCCUUUGUUGCCAGCGGUCCGGCCGGGAACUCAAAGGAGACUGCCAGGGAUAAACUGGAGGAAGGUGGGGAUGACGUCAAGUCAUCAUGGCCCUUACGAGUAGGGCUACACACGUGCUACAAUGGCGCAUACAAAGAGAAGCGACCUCGCGAGAGCAAGCGGACCUCAUAAAGUGCGUCGUAGUCCGGAUUGGAGUCUGCAACUCGACUCCAUGAAGUCGGAAUCGCUACUAAUCGUGAAUCAGAAUGCUACGGUGAAUACGUUCCCGGGCCUUGUACACACCG
This 434-nucleotide ribosomal RNA is filed under the name uncultured bacterium. RNAcentral describes it as "bacterial SSU rRNA". It matches the Rfam family "Bacterial small subunit ribosomal RNA", at positions 958 to 1392 of the family's 1533-position model. The record is from RNAcentral.